Oreochromis niloticus (Nile tilapia) is the source of this 2115-nucleotide RNA transcript. It is a transcript of the gene named CXADR-like membrane protein, with no coding region annotated. The record is from RefSeq and is a predicted model, not a curated record. NCBI's taxonomy places the organism in Eukaryota, Metazoa, Chordata, Actinopteri, Cichliformes, Cichlidae. The transcript has 6 exons.
UAAUCAAUCUGGUGUUGUCUUUGCUCAGCGUGAUUAUUGUGGGAUCAGGCAUCUCUGAAAGAGGAAAAGUAUCUUGAUGACAUCUAUCAAAACUUCAAAUGGCCUGCAGCAUUUAUUUUGAAUGAAUUUAAAAUAUUUUUCUUAUGUAAAAGAAUCAUUUUAAAACCACACCUUAGCGGCAUCAGCUCAUCACACCACCACUGCAUUUAAGGCUGGACUGGCUCCUGAGUUUGUUGUUGUUGUUGUGUGUGGCUGGCAGCUGAUAAGCUGAAAAGCAUUGAAAUGUGGCCGGGUCUGUUGUGCAUCUGUUACAGUUUUAAAAAGUAAUGUAAAGUAACGCAAACUCCUCGAAAUAACAAAUAAUCGAAUCAUGUGAGAAUGAUCAAUGAGGGUCACAAAAUGUUACAAAGUCUCUUAAUUAAAGUUUAACUAUUUCAAAUUCUUCUGUGCAGCUAUAAUGUGUAUUUCCUCCUGUGUGAUCUGACAUCUGAACCUCAGAUUAUGAGAAGUCUUCUGUCUUCUUGUGAAUCUGUUGUUGUGGUGGGAGCAAAGAGACGUCACACAAAAUAAUGGAGAGGAGUAAUUUAAAUCAAAUAAAGCAUCAUAAUGAAAUGGUCAAAAAUGCAUUCUGUGAAAGGACAAAAUGCAUUAUGGGCCUAAACUAUGCUGACAACAUCAGGGCAGUGCAAUCCUAACCUCUGUGUGUGGUAUAAUAUAUUUAUUCUUUCUAUCUUUGUCUAAACUCAACAUCAGAUCAACCAAAGGCUCAAAUAACGUCUGAUAUGAGACACGUUCCAGUAGGGGGCAAUAUGACCCUGAAAUGUUCAGUGAACCCAUCAUCAUAUGGAUGGAAAUACUACUGGUACAGAGAUGAGAACUGGUCUGAACCCCUGACCCCACAAGAUGCAGUUUUCCACUCAAAUGGACAAAUCACAGUCUCACAGGAAGGACUCUACAGAUGCAGAGGAGGCAGAGGAAACCCAGUUUACUACACAGAGGACAGUGAGCCCUUCAACAUUGAUAAAAUGCUACGUCCAGUUCUUCAUUUCUUGUUCUGAUGAUCACGGGACUCAUUUCUGGAAUCAUAUUUAUUUUCCUCCUGUUCCUGUUCCUGUACAAAAAGAAAUGUUCUGCUGAUGACCCGAGGGUGAGUCAGGAUGAAAAUCAACAGCAAGUCUACUCCUCUCUUCUUCAUGGUGAGGAUUCUGUCUAUGAAACAAUCAGAGACUCUGGAAAUACUCAAAAUGCUGGGUGACCUGUGUGAUGUAGGUCCAGUGGGUCCUUCUUGUGGAAACUCAACAAUUCUUUCUAUCCAAAGUGGGCGAACUAUGAGAAGUGACAGUAGUUUGAUCAUCUCCUUUCCUCAUAACUGAAAACUUAUUCUCACUCUCAAACAUCAGACCUUUGUCAGGUCCCAUUCACUCAUAUUUGCCACCAUUCACGGACCCUCAAGUUGCAAACUAUGGGCACAAAUAUACAUUAACCUUUUCUAGUAAAGUAUUUAGUUUUAAUGUUUAGCUAAACAUCCGAAAUAUGUUUUAAAAGUGUUUCUCUGAUGUUUUGUUUUUAUAUUAUAUAUGUUUUAAUUUCUUACUAAUGUAAAAAAAAGUCCAUAUCCAAAAAUGACCAUGCAAACAUUAAAUAUAAGUGAGGCAACUCUCUAAAAGGUUCAUUAAUUACAUUACCUGUGUCAGUGUGUGAUUUUAUCCUUAACAUCGUACAAUAAGUUGUUAGAAAUCAUAUUAAAUACUAUAAUAUAGACUUAAUAGUGUCUUCUAUUGCAAAUGAGUGUUUCUAUUACAUAUUUAUGCUCUCAAUAAUCAAACCUUUUUUAUUGAAGCUUUUGUAUAACAUUUCAUGUAACAACAGAAAGUUUAAAAGGUGUUAUAUGUAGUAUUUGUAGUGUCUGAAAAUGUAGCUGUUGCUGUGUUACAGUAGAUACAAUGAGCAUAUUUUUACACAUUAGAUCUUCUACAUUAUCCCCAAAGUAAUGAAAAAUACUUACAAUAUUCAUAAAUACUGUAUGGAUUUGAAUGUAUAAUGUAUUUCAUGUCUAAUUUUUUUAAUUCAAAAUUACAAUACAUUUGUCUUUAUGAACCUGGAACAGCAAAUAAA